Molecule: long non-coding RNA, 1743 nt
Filed under: Chinchilla lanigera (long-tailed chinchilla)
Lineage: Eukaryota; Metazoa; Chordata; Mammalia; Rodentia; Chinchillidae
Description: lncRNA (ENSCLAG00000025642.1)
Source: RNAcentral
GCGGGACCCAAGAGGAGGAGGAGAAUGUGCGGCCGGGGCUGUGCCCUGGGAUCUGCAACAAACCCAGCUGCAACUGGAGGCGCUCGGGCGGAGCAAGAGACUGGGGCCCCGCAGCAAAGCCGGAGAGAGCGCCGCAGAGGCUGGGCUCGGGCUCGGACCUGCACUGGCAGUGGCCCCCCGGGGAGAAAGCCGCCUAGAUGACGGAGAGCCACCCUGCAGAGGUGGUCGUGGACCCUGGGAGCCUGAGGCCUGGACUGCGGCCACUGUGCACCAAGCCACCAGGACUUUCGUCUGUAAUCCCGGGUAUGAGAUGACUGAGCCAAGCACGAGCGCCUCAGCUUUCACCUUUACGCGGCACUCAAGAAGGCCCUAUUCAAGUCUGGAGUCUGGUUCAGGGGAUCCUGACCCCUCCAUGGUCCAGACGCUUACACCCUCCAUCAAGCCCUCUUCGCAGGCAGCGGAACCACAAGCGCUCUGGCACCAUGCUGCGCUCCUGCACUGCUGAGCUGAGCCGGGCCAACAGCAUCUUCCUGCAACUGCUGUUGGAUAAGAAGUUCGCACAAGGGUUGGGGGUUUAGCUCAGCGGCACAGCGCCUGCCUGGCAAGCGCUAGGUUGUGAGUUCGAUUCCUGGUACCGGGGGAAAAAAAAAAAUUCGCAUGGCCCUACCGGCUGCUAGAUGCUAGCCUGCUCCUGGGUGCUGGUCUUUUACUUCCUGGGCUUCCUGAAGGAGAAGCACAAGCUGCCCAUGCUCUGGGCAUUGGCUCAGCUCUGAGGCUGACUUGGCACUAUCAGAAAAAGGCCCUUCUGGAACUACUCCAGCUGCAACCCCGUCAUCCACGCUGCCUCCCAAAAUCAGGUGUGAGCUUCAGAACGCAGUCCCCGGAGACUGGAAGAUGUACCAUGGAGCGAGAGCAGUCAUCGGUCCUCGUCCCCUCUUGGUAACCAAAGAUGACGCAGUCUUUAUGGCUAAGGACCUAGAUCAGGACACUGACGGGCCAAGGGGGCAUCUGGGACUCCCAGUCCUGGGCACAGAGUUCUGAAAGUCUCGCUCUCCUCUUCCAUUCUAAACCUUUGUCCCUUCCUCACUGCUGGCACCUGACUCUCAAUUCCACACCCCCAUAUUCCCACACCCCAAUAUUCCCACACCCCAAUAUUCCCACUCCCCAGCUGGGGCUUGGCACUGUAAGGGCACAGUUAUAAAAUAGCAAACUUACUGAUAUUGUAUAGCAAAAGUUAAAAAUCAGUUAACGGCCUAAGACUGUGUUCCUGCUGCUUGUCACAUAGCUAGUCUGCUAAAUUCAGUCAGCCUUGAAAGUCUAAAUCCAGCCGCUUCUCUUUGAUAGUGCACUGGGCCAACCUGACUGUGUCCAGCUUGUGUCUUUCCUGAGCUAGAAAAAUAUAUAUUGUUUCCAGCUUGCUUCAAGCACUUCAUGAUUGGGACAGACUGGCCCAGUCAAGGACCCAUUUAACUCUGCUUGCUCUGCACACACCCCCUCCUCUCCUUCCCAGAACAUUCCUACCUUAUGAUAAACAAUUCCUUUUAAGUAAAUCUAUUUGCUUGACAACAUAUGACUCAAUGCAUGUAACCAAUCAUGUAACAACUAGCCAUCAGCCUUGUACUUCCUGCUUACAAACUGUAUUUAAACUGAACUCUAAGCUGUUUUGUGGUCUAGUGAUUUGGAACCUAUUCCUACCAGUCUGCUAGCAUAAUAAAAGUUGCUUUCUAACUCCUCGGUGCAAAG